AGCAAAUAAGAGUGGAAAAAAGUCACCAGUUUAUGACAGCAAUUAAGUAAUUUUUUAAACACUCUCCGCACUUGGCCAACAGCAGUAGCAGCCCAAAAAGGGGGGGAAAAAACACAAACCUCCCAAGUAAAACAAAUAUGGAUCUGGUAUCUGGUUAUAACUUUUUUCUUUUGUAUAAAAAUCCCACUGUGGUGUGUCGCAGCUAAAUUUCGGACUUCUUAAACAAAAGCCAACGAAUGAGUUCUCACAUGCAAUGUGUCUGAGUUCGCCACAUCGACUUUCGUCAUCUAUUGGUUCCAUAUGCAAACACAAUACACCUUAUGUUAAUAUACACACGAAAUAAGUAGAGAAGAAAUACUAAAAUGUGGGGCUAUCAGUCAACAAGAAUGAGGAUGAUCUACCAUAUAUGCCAUUCAUUUUUAAUUCUGGCAUCACAUACUACUUUUAGUUAAAGCCCGAAAUAAAACCCCUUGAUA
Molecule: long non-coding RNA, 476 nt
Organism: Drosophila sechellia
Lineage: Eukaryota; Metazoa; Arthropoda; Insecta; Diptera; Drosophilidae
Exons: 3
Source: RefSeq, a predicted model, not a curated record